This 518-nucleotide ribosomal RNA is filed under the name uncultured bacterium. RNAcentral describes it as "bacterial SSU rRNA". It matches the Rfam family "Bacterial small subunit ribosomal RNA", at positions 29 to 518 of the family's 1533-position model. The record is from RNAcentral.
AACGAACGCUGGCGGCGUGCCUAAUACAUGCAAGUCGAACGGUCUUUCUAUGGAAGCUUGCUUCCACUGAGAAGAUAGUGGCGAACGGGUGAGUAACACGUGGGUAACCUGCCCAUAAGAGGGGGAUAACAUCCGGAAACGGGUGCUAAUACCGCAUAGUUUUCUUGAUCGCAUGAUCGGGAAAGGAAAGACGGCCUUUGUGCUGUCGCUUAUGGAUGGACCCGCGGCGUAUUAGUUAGUUGGUGAGGUAACGGCUCACCAAGACGAUGAUACGUAGCCGACCUGAGAGGGUGAUCGGCCACAUUGGGACUGAGACACGGCCCAAACUCCUACGGGAGGCAGCAGUAGGGAAUCUUCCGCAAUGGACGAAAGUCUGACGGAGCAACGCCGCGUGAGUGAAGAAAAGGUUUUCGGAUCGUAAAACUCUGUUGUCAGAGAAGAACAAGUUGGAGAGUAACUGCUCCAGCCUUGACGGUAUCUGACCAGAAAGCCACGGCUAACUACGUGCCAGCCGCAGC